This 107-nucleotide small nuclear RNA is filed under the name Catagonus wagneri (Chacoan peccary). Lineage: Eukaryota; Metazoa; Chordata; Mammalia; Artiodactyla; Tayassuidae. The record is from RNAcentral.
GUGCUCACUUUGGCAGCACAUAUACUAAAACCAGAACAAUACCAAGAAGAUUAGCAUGGCCCCUGCACAAGGAUGACAUGUAUAUCUGUGAAGUGUUCCUUUUUUUU